This 28-nucleotide small RNA is filed under the name Bombyx mori (domestic silkworm). RNAcentral's name for it is "piRNA piR-bmo-1584999". Lineage: Eukaryota; Metazoa; Arthropoda; Insecta; Lepidoptera; Bombycidae. The record is from RNAcentral.
UCCUAAUGGCGGCGUCGUGCGAGAGAGC